GCCGGCAUGGUGAAGAGGCUUAACACAACGGAUUUUCAUUCCGUCAUUUCGCGGGUUCGAAUCCCGUUGCCGGUU
RNAcentral lists this transfer RNA (75 nucleotides) under Spirochaetota bacterium. RNAcentral describes it as "Spirochaetes bacterium (groundwater metagenome) tRNA-Glu". It matches the Rfam family "tRNA". From Rfam's summary of the family: Transfer RNA (tRNA) molecules are approximately 80 nucleotides in length. Lineage: Bacteria; Pseudomonadati; Spirochaetota. The record is from RNAcentral.